AUAAAUAAUUAAUUAAAUAAUUUUUAUUAUUCGGUUAACUCGAAUAGAUUAUCGAGUUAACCGAUACCCGAAUUUCUUUUUAAAGUGAUAAUCGAAACUGAUUCAAUAAUCAAAAAUUUUGAUUAUUAAAUACCUGAACCUGAAAAUUUCAAUUCGAUUAAUGAAUUAUCCAAAACUCGAUAAUCAAUUAGACAGGCUAACGGCCCUAACCUGUAAUAAAGUGCUUCUUACUUUACAGAUAAGACUCAAAUCAUGUAUGGGACAAACAAAUUUAAGAACACACCAAAUUUUAACACUUAAUGGGCCCACACUUAUAAUUGCCGACCGGGUUGACUCAUUUGCAGAACCAACCCGCAACUUAUGAUUCUUGAUACUAUUGUGAUAACAAAUUAUUCAUUUGAAUUUUGACAAUAUCAUGUGCCCAUUUAAUUUUAUGGAAUUCGAUAAAUAUCAUUUGCCAACCCACCCCACUUGGAGCACCUUGUCACCUUUUAAAAAUAAAUAUUGUUUUUUUUUUUUUUUAACUCUUAUCUUGUAGGUACAACUAAUUAGAUUAAUCUACUACCUUUUGGAGGUGAUGGAUGAUAAUGCUGGUAUGAUAGCUCAAUCAAUGCAUUUAACUUGUUCUAUAUUUUAAGUUUAGUUUAGUUAUUAAUUUAUACAACAUCUUCAAUGUUGUAACAUGUCAUCAUCACGGAAGUAAUAGGUUAAACUUAUUAUUACUCCCCCCGCAUAUGAAAAUAAUGGCAAUUUGGUUUAGUAGCGAUUUUAGUAUAAUAUUUGGUGAAUUUUAUGUAAUUGAGAAAUCGUUUCAUCCAUUUGAUGGACGUUAAAAAUAAUAAAAAUGUUAAUUUUGAUGGACAAAAGAGUAUUAUUAUAAAAUUUUAAGUCGGAAAGGAGGUGUUGUGACUUGUAAGAAUUGAAUUUGGGAUUAUUUUUCACUUAGGACUCAUUUGCUUGACAAUAUCAGAUAAAGUAAAAAUAUUUGAGUGGAAUGUCUUAUAACUUAUAAGACAUCAAUAUUAUGUUGAUUACAUAUGUUAAAUUAUUGAAUUUAUAAAUAAAUUAUGUUAAGAUAAUAAAAAUUUGAAAGUUUAAUCUAUUAAUUAAUUAAUAAAUGAUAUAAUUAGGAUUUAUAUUAUGUAUUCCAUCUAAGAGAUAGUAUACAAAAUUAGAAGGAUUUGUAUAAUACAUAUUGGACUUGCUUUAUAAAGAGUCUAGUGUUCUUAAGCAAACAUAAUACUCCCCCGAGUCUCAUUAAUAACAUCUUAAAAAAUUAGAUCACAUAAGGGCAUUCACAUUGGAGAGUCAAGAUUAACUCUGAAAAGUGGUCCUCACCAUUUAAGAGUCAAUCCCCACAUUGGAGAACCAACACCUUGAUUCUUAAAAUUUAUAUUUUAUUUUAUCUUUAUUUUUAUUGUUUGUUUUCAAUUAAUUUUAACAAUAUAUUUAAUAACAUAAAUUUUAUUGAACUUAGAAUUUAACACUACGUUGAUUGAAAAUAAAAUUGCAUUACAACAAAAAUAAAGUCCUAAAUUACUUCAAAUUAAAAAAAAUAUAUAAAAAAACCUACAAUCUAUGGGAGAUCAUUGCGUUUCUUGAUUUGUGUGUGAAAGUGAAUAGAAAAAGGAAACAAUUUAUAGAAACAAAAUAAUAGAUAAAGAAAAGAAGAAAAAAAACCACAAAGAGCCGUUUGGAUUGGCUCUAUACCAGAUUUUGCCCGCAAAGCCGUUGCAAAAAUUCAAAUUUUAAUUAAUUAUUUAUUUUUUAUUAAUUUAUUUUAAUUAAAAGGCUGAAAUUUUUGUGAUUGGACCAUGUAUAUCACGCGCCCAAUCAAAAGGGGGAUUGCUCCAGGUGUGGAGGGAAGGUAUGGGUGCGGACAUUGGGGGUGCGACAUUGGGGGGGAGAGUGUGGGGCGCCAAGCUCGAGCCGGCGUCCGCGCCCCCAGUGUGGAUGGCCUAAGGAAUAAUUGUUUAUGGCAUAAAGUAGUGACAUCUCACUUGUUUAAUAUUGAGAGAGAAAACAAAAAUUGCUUUAAUCAAAAAGUGGGAGGAGUCCAUAUGUUCCUUUUAGUAUAAUUAGGAGCCUAAUUUAUUUUCUUAUGAAUUGAGACAUUAUUGAUGAGGCAGAUAAAGUAUAAGAUUGUCAGUGACUCGUAGGCAUACACUAAUCCUCUCUAACAAACAAGCUCUUAAAUAAUAGGGUUAAAUAGCAAAAACAACCUCAAGGUAGUCCCGUAUUUUUUUAAUUUCAUCCCUCACGAAUCGUAAGUGGCAUGGCAGACCUUAUUGUAUUUUUUAAAAAAUUCCGUCCAUGUUUGCGACGUUCGAUAAUCGUCCGUCCAGUAUUUAUUUAUAUAUAUUUUUAAUUUUUACUCGAAAAUGGGCCCCACUUACCGUUGAAACUCUUAAUAGCGGGAUAUGUCAUCCCCAAUCCUCAAUCUUGUAUACACGAACCCUAGUUUUUCACAUUCUUCAAUUUUCAAAGUAUUAGAUGAAGAAUUACACGAAAUUUGCACGAUUGAGCUUGGGGUUUCUCUCCCUUUAGUCAACACAUAAGAUGAGUUCCAAUAUGUCUUGCAAUUUGCGGGGCAGUUUGGCAAGUAGGAGUAGGAGCUCAAAGAUGGAUAUAAACUAUGAAGAACCAAGGUAUUGUUCAUGCGUAUUUGAAGGUAGGAGGUUGAAAGCCCCUAGAAUGACAUCUUGGACCGACGACAAUCCCGGUCGGAGGUUCUAUGGCUGUCAAAACUGGAAGACUAAGAAUUGCGGGUAUUUCGAAUGGCAUGAUGAAGCAUUGUGUUCAAGGUAGAGAUGUUAUCAUAGAAUUGAGGAAGGAGAACAAGAAGUUGGUGAAUGAGUUGAGCCAAGCAAAGAAAACUUUAACAUGUGAAUUGGAGGAUGAACUCGAAAAGCUAUGGAAUGUAAUCCAAAAACUGAAAGAAGAAAACAAGAAAGGAAGAAAAAAGAUUAGAGUGACAUAUGUUGUUGCAAUUAUAUCUUGGUUGAUCUUCCUGUAUUUAUUUUCUUUUUAGUGUUAGAUGGUCUUCUUGUAACCCACACUUUGAAUGCAAUAAAAGGAUUUGCUUUGAUCA
Molecule: long non-coding RNA, 3091 nt
Organism: Salvia miltiorrhiza (redroot sage)
Lineage: Eukaryota; Viridiplantae; Streptophyta; Magnoliopsida; Lamiales; Lamiaceae
Exons: 2
Source: RefSeq, a predicted model, not a curated record